GACGAACGCUGGCGGCGUGCUUAACACAUGCAAGUCGAACGCUGAACCCGCUUCGGUGGGGGAUGAGUGGCGAACGGGUGAGUAACACGUGGGCAACCUGCCCCCGGCUCUGGGAUAACUCCAAGAAAUUGGGGCUAAUACCGGAUGUGACCGCUGGCCGCAUGGUCUGGUGGUGGAAAGGGUUUCCGGCUGGGGAUGGGCCCGCGGCCUAUCAGCUUGUUGGUGGGGUAGUGGCCUACCAAGGCGACGACGGGUAGCCGGCCUGAGAGGGUGACCGGCCACACUGGGACUGAGACACGGCCCAGACUCCUACGGGAGGCAGCAGUGGGGAAUAUUGCGCAAUGGGCGGAAGCGUGACGCAGCGACGCCGCGUGGGGGAUGACGGCCUUCGGGUUGUAAACCUCUUUCAGCAGGGACGAAGCGCAAGUGACGGUACCUGCAGAAGAAGCACCGGCCAACUACGUG
This 465-nucleotide ribosomal RNA is filed under the name uncultured bacterium. Its description in RNAcentral is "partial 16S ribosomal RNA". It matches the Rfam family "Bacterial small subunit ribosomal RNA", at positions 28 to 507 of the family's 1533-position model. The record is from RNAcentral.